RNAcentral lists this ribosomal RNA (253 nucleotides) under uncultured bacterium. RNAcentral describes it as "partial 16S ribosomal RNA". It matches the Rfam family "Bacterial small subunit ribosomal RNA", at positions 524 to 776 of the family's 1533-position model. The record is from RNAcentral.
CACGUAGGAGGCGAGCGUUGUCCGGAAUCAUUGGGCGUAAAGAGCGCGCAGGCGGCUUGGCAAGUCGGGGGUGAAAUCCCGGGGCUCAACCCCGGGACUGCAUUCGAUACUGUCAGGCUAGAGGUAGGUAGGGGAGAUCGGAAUUCCUGGUGUAGCGGUGAAAUGCGCAGAUAUCAGGAGGAACACCGGUGGCGAAGGCGGAUCUCUGGGCCUUACCUGACGCUCAGGCGCGAAAGCUAGGGGAGCGAACAGG